CAGUAGCCACGGUAAUACGUAGGGUGCAAGCGUUAAUCGGAAUUACUGGGCGUAAAGCGUGCGCAGGCGGUUUGUUAAGACAGAUGUGAAAUCCCCGGGCUUAACCUGGGAACUGCAUUUGUGACUGGCAAGCUAGAGUAUGGCAGAGGGGGGUGGAAUUCCGCGUGUAGCAGUGAAAUGCGUAGAUAUGCGGAGGAACACCGAUGGCGAAGGCAGCCCCCUGGGCCAAUACUGACGCUCAUGCACGAAAGCUAGGGGAGCAAACAGGAUUAGAUACCCCAGUAGUCCCUGUCUCUUAUAC
RNAcentral lists this ribosomal RNA (301 nucleotides) under uncultured bacterium. Its description in RNAcentral is "partial 16S ribosomal RNA". It matches the Rfam family "Bacterial small subunit ribosomal RNA", at positions 509 to 807 of the family's 1533-position model. The record is from RNAcentral.